This 502-nucleotide ribosomal RNA is filed under the name uncultured bacterium. RNAcentral's name for it is "bacterial SSU rRNA". It matches the Rfam family "Bacterial small subunit ribosomal RNA", at positions 9 to 526 of the family's 1533-position model. The record is from RNAcentral.
GAGUUUGAUCCUGGCUCAGGACGAACGCUGGCGGCGCGCCUAACACAUGCAAGUCGAACGAGAGAGAGGGAGCUUGCUCCCUUGAUCGAGUGGCGAACGGGUGAGUAACGCGUGAGGAACCUGCCCUUCGGAACGGGAUAGUGUCUGGAAACGGACAGUAAUACCGUAUAACGUAUUUUUACCGCAUGAUAGAAAUACCAAAACUGAGGUGCCGAAGGAUGGGCUCGCGUCUGAUUAGAUAGUUGGUGGGGUAACGGCCUACCAAGUCGACGAUCAGUAGCCGGACUGAGAGGUUGAACGGCCACAUUGGGACUGAGACACGGCCCAGACUCCUACGGGAGGCAGCAGUGGGGAAUAUUGCACAAUGGGGGAAACCCUGAUGCAGCGACGCCGCGUGAAGGAAGAAGUAUCUCGGUAUGUAAACUUCUAUCAGCAGGGAAGAAAAUGACGGUACCUGACUAAGAAGCCCCGGCUAACUACGUGCCAGCCGCCGCGGUAAUAC